Xyrichtys novacula (pearly razorfish) is the source of this 330-nucleotide non-coding RNA. Lineage: Eukaryota; Metazoa; Chordata; Actinopteri; Labriformes; Labridae. The record is from the annotation of a GenBank genome assembly.
GUCAGUGAUAUCGAGUCCACAUUUUGUGAUGUCUUUGUGUCAGAGGCUAAAUAUGAGGAGUGGGGACACGUCAUCUCAGAACCACGAAUUCGUUCUUCUCUAUCGCCAAACCAGCCGCUCACCUUCCUGACUGAACUGUGCAAAGUAAAACGCAACUGGUUUAGUGGAAGAGAAGAACAGACACGUUGGCUAAGGGAUGACAUGACAACUCCAACGCUCUUCCCCCCAACCUCUGCUGACUAUACAACUGCACUUCUAGGUUGGCUUAGAGAUGACAUGACAACUCUGACACUCUCCAACCUCUGCCGAUUAUACAAUUCAAACUUUGGU